This 253-nucleotide ribosomal RNA is filed under the name uncultured prokaryote. Its description in RNAcentral is "partial 16S ribosomal RNA". It matches the Rfam family "Bacterial small subunit ribosomal RNA", at positions 524 to 776 of the family's 1533-position model. The record is from RNAcentral.
UACAGAGGUCUCAAGCGUUGUUCGGAUUCGUUGGGCGUAAAGGGUGCGUAGGCGGCGGGGCAAGUCGGAUGUGAAAUCUCAGGGCUCAACCCUGAAACUGCAUUCGAUACUGCCUUGCUUGAGGACUGGAGAGGAGAUUGGAAUUCACGGUGUAGCAGUGAAAUGCGUAGAUAUCGUGAGGAAGACCAGUGGCGAAGGCGGAUCUCUGGACAGUUCCUGACGCUGAGGCACGAAGGCCAGGGGAGCAAACGGG